Mustela putorius furo (domestic ferret) is the source of this 98-nucleotide non-coding RNA. The record is from Rfam. Lineage: Eukaryota; Metazoa; Chordata; Mammalia; Carnivora; Mustelidae.
GGCGUGAUCACACGGCAGCGCAAAAUUGGUAUGAUAUAGAGACUAGCAUUGCCCUGUGCAAGGAUAACACGCAAAUUCGUGAAGCAUUCCAUAUGUUU